GCCAUAUCUCCUUCAAUCACAAUAGGUUUGCCAGAUUGAAAGUGAAAACCCUAAAUCCCCAAAUUUUCACCAGUUUGUUCUAAAUCAUCAAAUUCAUCCAUCAAUUCACCAAUAUUUCGAUCAUGUCGUCGGAAAGAUGCAAAUCCGGUCGAUCGUCACGCAUCUCCGACGAGAAUCACCGGCGAGAUUCACAUCUCUGAGGCGAAUCACUGUCACACACUCACUCACACGCAGCUAUAAUGUACUCAACGAAGCUCCAUCUGCCGGAAAAAUCCACCGCUCUAAUUGUCUUCGCAUAACCGUUCUGGUACAGUCCAUCAAAACUCAAUAGCUUGAUGGAGAUUGUUAAUUGUUCCGGUACAGUCGAUCAAAACCUAAAAGCUUGAUGGAGAUUGUUAUGAGUUCAAGUGAGAAGGUAUAAGGCUGACAAGUAUGACCGAUUAUGGAAGGCAAUUAGUUGGCCUCGUUAUAGGGAUCGGUUGUCUACAGCUUGCACUUCGAAAAUGAGUCUUGGUUUGGUAAACAAGAACGCGAUGAAAAAUACUUUUUAACUAUUUUUUUCUAUCAUAACUCAAAACUUAACCUUUCUUGUGGUUUUUGCAGUGCCUUAUUCCACAGAAUACGGUGCAGUGUAUUAAAAUUUAAAACACCAAAUUUCUUGAUUAAUGCAGCCUAUGAUUCAUGGCACGUUAGACAAACCUCAAUAUGAGCAGCAAUAAUAUAAUAGAAUAAUAUUUGAUUUAAUUAUGAUUUAGAUAAUCAGCUUACAGGUAAAGACUAUAUUGGCCCAGGAGUUACUGAUCGACAACGCACAUGCCGCAAAUGCAACAAAGUGCUCAACGGCUCAACUCAAUGUCCUGAAGUACCUGGGAGUCAUGUUGACCAGAAAGGAUCCAUUGUUCUUCCAGAAAAGUUACGGUUUGACUUCUCCCAUGGGAAACCCGUAAAGCCCGAUGACCUUCGUAGAAUUGAAUCAAUCAUGAAUGAACAAAUUAAAGCUGAGCUGGAGGUUUCAGCGAAGAAGGCAAGCCUUGCUGAUGCGAAAAGAGUAAAUGGUUUGCGCACUGUUUUUGGUGAAGUGUACCCUGAUCCCGUUAGGAUUGUUGCUAUCGUUCGAAAAGUGGACGAUUUAUUGGCUGAUCCUGAAAAUGAAGAAUGGUCGUCCAUAUCUGCAGAACUCUAUUUCAAACACACGCGAGGCAAAAGCGGUUGCUCUUUUGUCUGAGGAGGGAAUUGCUAAGGGAUUAGGAGAAUUAUCACUAUAACAACAAACUAUGCUUUUGAAGUUAUUAAAAAGGCGUCUGAGCUUGAACUGGAAGUUGAUCUGGCAUCUAAGAUGGAAGGAAGCUUUCUUGAACAGUGUAGAAGAAAAUUGUAGAGAAGCUGUAUAAAGCCAAGCUGGUUGUGGAGAGGCAUAAAGCCAAGUCGGUUUUUGAUUUAAGACACAUUUUAAACUAGUGACCAGUUUACUUUAAGUAUGCAAUUUGAGGUAAGUCUGUAUCUAAUCCCUUGAAAGAUAAACAAGCGUAAAAGAAGACGAGAGAAAUUGGUGCGAUUGAAGGUAACUCUGUAUCUAAUAAACUCGAUUACAGGUAAUUGAUAUUUUGCUAUAUCUUGACUUUCAUGGGUCUCCUCUUUUGUAGCUGCACGAUUUGUAAAUAGUUGAUUCUUUGGCCUAAGUUGAUUAGAUCUAAAUAGUAAUACCAUGGCGAAACGCAGGCUACAUUUACUAGUUUAGCUAUAAUUUAGGCUUGAUUUGGGUUUUGGUAUGGUAUUUUCUUAUAUGGGCAUGUCUUCUCUGCUAUUGUCUUUAUAUUGAUUUAUGUUUUGUUUAUCGAUUUAGGUACAACCGUAAGAAGCUAACUUAUGAAGAGAGGAAGUAAAAGCUUAUCGAGAGGUUGAAUGCAUUAAAUGAUGAUAACGAUUUUGACGUAGAUUGAUGAUUUUUGAAGUUUGUUAAAUUUUUGUUAGUUUGUGGCUAAACAUAUAUAUAUAUAUAUUUUUUUGAAAAGAAAACUUCUAUAAAACCAACCGAACCCGAAAACCGGGACG
RNAcentral lists this long non-coding RNA (2052 nucleotides) under Helianthus annuus (common sunflower). Lineage: Eukaryota; Viridiplantae; Streptophyta; Magnoliopsida; Asterales; Asteraceae. The record is from RNAcentral.